AGAAAAAUAAGCUAAUUAAGCUAUCGGGUUCAUACCCCGCUUAUAGAGGUCUGCCCCUCUUUUUUCUA
RNAcentral lists this transfer RNA (68 nucleotides) under Claassenia xucheni. RNAcentral's name for it is "tRNA-Met". Lineage: Eukaryota; Metazoa; Arthropoda; Insecta; Plecoptera; Perlidae. The record is from RNAcentral.